RNAcentral lists this ribosomal RNA (634 nucleotides) under uncultured soil bacterium. Its description in RNAcentral is "bacterial SSU rRNA". It matches the Rfam family "Bacterial small subunit ribosomal RNA", at positions 26 to 651 of the family's 1533-position model. The record is from RNAcentral.
AGGAUGAACGCUAGCGGCAGGCUUAAUACAUGCAAGUCGUGGGGCAGCAGGUCUGUAGCAAUACAGGCGCUGGCGACCGGCAAACGGGUGCGGAACACGUACACAACCUUCCUUUAAGUGGGGAAUAGCCCGGGGAAACCCGGAUUAAUACCCCGUAAUAUAAUGAAGUGGCAUCGCUUUAUUAUUAUAGCUCCGGCGCUUGAAGAUGGGUGUGCGACUGAUUAGGCAGUUGGCGGGGUAACGGCCCACCAAACCUACGAUCAGUAACUGGUGUGAGAGCACGACCAGUCACACGGGCACUGAGACACGGGCCCGACUCCUACGGGAGGCAGCAGUAAGGAAUAUUGGUCAAUGGACGCAAGUCUGAACCAGCCAUGCCGCGUGGAGGAUGAAGGUCCUCUGGAUUGUAAACUUCUUUUAUCUGGGAAGAAAUCCACAAAUUCUUUUGUGGUUGACGGUACCAGAUGAAUAAGCACCGGCUAACUCCGUGCCAGCAGCCGCGGUAAUACGGAGGGUGCAAGCGUUAUCCGGAUUCACUGGGUUUAAAGGGUGCGUAGGUGGGUUGGUAAGUCAGUGGUGAAAUCUCCAGGCUUAACUUGGAAACUGCCAUUGAUACUAUCAAUCUUGAAUACCG